GUCUUCCGGUUCCGGGGGAAGUAUGGUUGCAAAGCUGAAAAUUAAGGGAAUUGACGGAAGGGCACCACCAGGAGUGGAGCCUGCGGCUUAAUUUGACUCAACACGGGGAAACUCACCCGGCCCGGACACCGUAAGGAUUGACAGAUUGAUAGCUCUUUCAUGAUUCGGUGGUUGGUGGUGCAUGGCCGUUCUUAGUUCGUGGAUAGAUUUGUCUGGUUUAUUCCGAUAACGAGCGAGACUCUAGCACUACUAAAUAGUAACGAGAUUGCCAUUGUCUUAGUUGCUUCUUAGAGGGAUUUUCGGUGUUUUAGCCGCACGAGAUUGAGCAAUAACAGGUCUGUGGAUGCCCUUAGAUGUCCGGGGGCUGCCACGCGGGCUACACUGGGCGAAAUCAGCGUGCUGUAUCCAUUCUCGAAAGGGAUUGGUAAACCCAUGAAAAUUUGCCGU
This 447-nucleotide ribosomal RNA is filed under the name Cephalobidae sp. st15_27. Its description in RNAcentral is "SSU rRNA". It matches the Rfam family "Eukaryotic small subunit ribosomal RNA", at positions 1103 to 1568 of the family's 1831-position model. The record is from RNAcentral. Lineage: Eukaryota; Metazoa; Nematoda; Chromadorea; Rhabditida; Cephalobidae.